GGAUGAAGAACGCAGCGAAAUGCGAUAAGUAAUGUGAAUUGCAGAAUUCAGUGAAUCAUCGAAUCUUUGAACGCACAUUGCGCCCCUUGGUAUUCCGAGGGGCAUGCCUGUUCGAGCGUCAUUAUAACCCCUCAAGCUCAGCUUGGUGUUGGGGCCUGCUGCACUGGCAGCCCUUAAAAUCAGUGGCGGCGCCAUCUGGCUCUAAGCGUAGUAAUUCUUCUCGCUAUGGAGUCCUGGUGGAUGCUUGCCAUCAACCCCCAAUUUUUCUAUGGUUGACCUCGGAUCAGGUAGGGAUACCCGCUGAACUUAAGCAUAUCAAUAAGCGGAGGA
This 330-nucleotide unclassified non-coding RNA is filed under the name soil metagenome. RNAcentral describes it as "partial contains 5.8S ribosomal RNA, internal transcribed spacer 2, and large subunit ribosomal RNA". The stretch from base 2 to 121 matches the Rfam family "5.8S ribosomal RNA", at positions 35 to 154 of the family's 154-position model. The record is from RNAcentral.